AGCAGAGAUGCUUUGGUGCCUUCGGGAACUCUGAGACAGGUGCUGCAUGGCUGUCGUCAGCUCGUGUUGUGAAAUGUUGGGUUAAGUCCCGCAACGAGCGCAACCCUUAUCCUUUGUUGCCAGCGAUUCGGUCGGGAACUCAAAGGAGACUGCCGGUGAUAAACCGGAGGAAGGUGGGGAUGACGUCAAGUCAUCAUGGCCCUUACGGCCAGGGCUACACACGUGCUACAAUGGCGCAUACAAAGAGAAGCGACCUCGCGAGAGCAAGCGGACCUCAUAAAGUGCAUCGUAGUCCGGAUUGGAGUCUGCAACUCGACUCCAUGAAGUCGGAAUCGCUAGUAAUCGUAGAUCAGAAUGCUACGGUGAAUACGUUCCCGGGCCUUGUACACACCGCCCGUCACACCAUGGGAGUGGGUUGCAAAAGAAGUAGGUAGCUUAACCUUCGGGAGGGCGCUUACCACUUUGUGAUUCAUGACUGGGGUGAAGUCGUAACAAGGUAGGCGUAGUGCU
Molecule: ribosomal RNA, 510 nt
Filed under: uncultured bacterium
Lineage: Bacteria
Description: bacterial SSU rRNA
Rfam family: Bacterial small subunit ribosomal RNA
Source: RNAcentral